UACGGGGGGAGCAAGCGUUGUUCGGAUUUACUGGGCGUAAAGGGCGCGUAGGCGGCGUGACAAGUCACUUGUGAAAUCUCCGGGCUUAACCCGGAGCGGCCAAGUGAUACUGUGAGGCUAGAGUACGGAAGAGGCGAGUGGAAUUCCUGGUGUAGCGGUGGAAUGCGCAGAUAUCAGGAGGAACACCAAUAGCGAAGGCAGCUCGCUGGGACGUUACUGACACUGAGGCGCGAAAGCGUGGGGAGCGAACAGG
This 253-nucleotide ribosomal RNA is filed under the name uncultured bacterium. RNAcentral describes it as "partial 16S ribosomal RNA". It matches the Rfam family "Bacterial small subunit ribosomal RNA", at positions 524 to 776 of the family's 1533-position model. The record is from RNAcentral.